This is a non-coding RNA of Malaclemys terrapin pileata, 345 nucleotides long. The record is from the annotation of a RefSeq genome assembly. Lineage: Eukaryota; Metazoa; Chordata; Testudines; Emydidae.
AUGGCUUCAGGUUGGAUCGCAGCUGCGUUAACAGCCUCGGUGCUAAGUGCCCUGGGCAGAGCAGAGAUCCAGCAGCCCGUUUCCGCAGAGGCGGUGGAGGGAGAGAAAUUGACCCUCUCUUGCAAUCACCCUAACGUGACCACCGAGAAGAUAAUGUGGUACCGCCACGUCCCCAGCCAGGCACCGCGGCUUUUGGCAGGUGGAUUCAGGGGAGAGACUCCCGGCACCGAAGCGGGCAGCACUUUAUACAUCGCUCAGGACAAAGCGUCCAGUGUCUUUGAGUUCCGCGGGGUGCGGCUGGCGGACGCAGCGGUGUAUUAUUGUGCUCUGAGCAACACAGCGUGA